AGGGACAGAGAUAAUAGAGAGACCUCCAUUAGAGUGGCUGUAAAUCCUCUUAUAAUGUGAAAUAAUUCAUGUCAUUUAAUAUUUUAUUGUAAAAUGCUGAAGCUGGAAUAUGAAAUAUAAAACAACACGUCAACAAGAACCAACCGCUGCGUCUCAUUGGUGUAUUUAUUUUAUUCAUGUGAUUUGAUUGGUUGAUUGAAAUGUAUCUUCUUGAAUCCUAAGCAACCUGCCUACACAUAGUUUGAAGUAGAAACACCAACAUAGAUACUGUAGUGGGUCAAAGCUGUGAGCUGGAAAACCUUGGUGGAGCAUGGGUGCAAUACCAACGUCUGUUCUCCCUUAAAACAUGGGUGCAAUACCAACGUCUGUUCUCCCUUAAAACAUGGGUGCAAUACCAACGUCUGUUCUCCCUUAAAACAUGGGUGCAAUACCAACGUCUGUUCUCCCUUAAAACAUGGGUGUAAUAAUGUGUGGACCUCAGACAUUUGCUCGUUGUUCCAUAGUUUUCUCGUCUUCUGAAACAAGUCCCAGCUACCUACCAGCUCUUAUUCAUCAAUGUAUCAGAUUAAAGAACCUUUCAUAUAAAAUACUUUCAUCAUCUUAAAAAUGGUUAAAUAUAUGUUUAAUUAACUAGGGCAAGUCAGUUAAGAACAAAUUCUUAUUUACAGUGACGACCUACCGGGGGAACAGUGAGUUAACUGCUUUGUUCAGGGGGCAGAACAACAAGAUGUUUCAGCUCUUGUCAGCUCGGGGCCACUUCGGCUAGUCCAACGCUCUAACCACUAGGCUACCUGCCAACCCCAACGUAUAAUAUAGUAUCAGCUUUCAUAUAAAACACGAUCAUCAAUAUCAACAUAUAAUAUAGUUUUAUAGUCGUUGUUCCGGAAGCUUCUUAUAGUACCAGCGUUGAUAUAUAAAUGUCUAAAUAUGGUCGUCGUACGGUUAGUCACAUGUUAGUCGUUGUUCCGGAAGCUUCUUAUAGUACCAGCGUUGAUAUAUAAAUGUCUAAAUAUGGUCGUCGUACGGUUAGUCACAUGUUAGUCGUUGUUCCGGAAGCUUUCGUAUUUAUUUACCUUUCCCGUAGCGGAAACAGGUAACUGCCAGAAUAACGGAAACACGUGGAGUUGACGAGGGAUACGGAGUAUAUUGAAAGCAGGUGCUUCCACACAGGUGUGGUUCCUGAGUCCAUUAUUAAGCUAUCAACAGCCCCAUAUCUCCUGAGGAUCAUGUGUCGGCAUGCUGGGCGGGCCAUUAUCUGCGUUACCAUGGCUACGCCCCCCAUCCACCAGAUCUCAACCCCCCCAAACGGAACACUUAUGGGAGAUUCUGGAGCGAUCCAGACACUUGCAGAAUCUAUACCAAGGAGCACCGAAGCUGUUCUGAGGGGCCUGUAACGGACCAACCAAGGAGCACCGAAGCUGUUCUGAGGGGCCUGUAACGGACCAACCAAGGAGCACCGAAGCUGUUCUGAGGGGCCUGUAACGGACCAACCAAGGAGCACCGAAGCUGUUCUGAGGGGCCUGUAACGGACCAACCAAGGAGCACCGAAGCUGUUCUGAGGGGCCUGUAACGGACCGACCAAGGAGCAUCGAAGCUGUUCUGAGGGGCCUGUAACGGACCGACCAAGGAGCACCGAAGCUGUUCUGAGGGGCCUGUAACGGACCAACCAAGGAGCACCGAAGCUGUUCUGAGGGGCCUGUAACGGACCAACCAAGGAGCACCGAAGCUGUUCUGAGGGGCCUGUAACGGCCCAACCAAGGAGCACCGAAGCUGUUCUGAGGGGCCUGUAACGGACCAACCAAGGAGCACCGAAGCUGUUCUGAGGGGCCUGUAACGGACCAACCAAGGAGCAUCGAAGCUGUUCUGGCUCCUGGUCGUCCAACGUCCUGUUAAAAACACUUGAUGUUGGUGUUUCCUUUAUUCAGUUACCUGCAUCUUCAAUACUCUAAUAUAUAAUCACAUAAUCAUAUUUAAAACACAACGCUUUUAUCCACAUUUUACAUACAGGUGGUCCCGUCUGGGUGCAUCCCAUAGGACACCCUAUUCCCUACAUAGCGCACUACUUUAGACCACUAGGUAGGGAAUAGGGGGACAUUUUGACAACUAGGUAGGGAAUAGAGGGCCAUUUUGACCACUAGGUAGGGAAUAGGGGGCCAGUUUGACCACUAGGUAGGGAAUAGAGGGCCAGUUUGACCACUAGGUAGGGAAUAGGGAUCCAUUUUAACCACUAGGUAGGGAAUAGGGGGCCAGUUUGACCACUAGGUAGGGAAUAGGGGGCCAGUUUGACCACUAGGUAGGGAAUAGGGGGCCAGUUUGACCACUAGGUAGGGCAUAGGGGGCCAGUUUGACCACUAGGUAGGGAAUAGGGGGCCAUUUUGACCACUAGGUAGGGAAUAGGGGGCCAGUUUGACCACUAGGUAGGGAAUAGGGGGCCAGUUUGACCGCUAGGUAGGGAAUAGGGGGCCAUUUUGACCACUAGGUAGGGAAUAGGGGGCCAGUUUGACCACUAGGUAGGGAAUAGGGGGCAUUUUGCAAGUAGCCUAUAUCUCUGUAAAUACAUUCCAUGUAGCUCUCAUUCAAUCAAUCUCCACCUGUCAUACAGUCACAAAUUAACUAUUUAGUCUAGCUCUAACCUGAGAGAGAGAGAGAGAGAGAGAGAGAGAGAGAGAGAGAGAGAGAGAGAGAGAGAGAGAGAGAGAGAGAGAGAGAGAGAGAGAGAGAGA
Molecule: long non-coding RNA, 2723 nt
Organism: Oncorhynchus tshawytscha (Chinook salmon)
Lineage: Eukaryota; Metazoa; Chordata; Actinopteri; Salmoniformes; Salmonidae
Source: Ensembl